RNAcentral lists this ribosomal RNA (495 nucleotides) under uncultured bacterium. Its description in RNAcentral is "partial 16S ribosomal RNA". It matches the Rfam family "Bacterial small subunit ribosomal RNA", at positions 28 to 505 of the family's 1533-position model. The record is from RNAcentral.
GACGAACGCUGGCGGCGUGCCUAAUACAUGCAAGUAGAACGCUGAAGAGAGGAGCUUGCUCUUCUUGGAUGAGUUGCGAACGGGUGAGUAACGCGUAGGUAACCUGCCUUGUAGCGGGGGAUAACUAUUGGAAACGAUAGCUAAUACCGCAUAACAAUGGAUGACACAUGUCAUUUAUUUGAAAGGGGCAAUUGCUCCACUACAAGAUGGACCUGCGUUGUAUUAGCUAGUAGGUGAGGUAAUGGCUCACCUAGGCGACGAUACAUAGCCGACCUGAGAGGGUGAUCGGCCACACUGGGACUGAGACACGGCCCAGACCCCUACGGGAGGCAGCAGUAGGGAAUCUUCGGCAAUGGGGGCAACCCUGACCGAGCAACGCCGCGUGAGUGAAGAAGGUUUUCGGAUCGUAAAGCUCUGUUGUAAGUCAAGAACGGGUGUGAGAGUGGAAAGUUCACACUGUGACGGGAGUUUACCAGAAAGGGACGGCUAACUACG